GAUUUCCCACCGCAAGGGUAAGACCCCAGAAAGACUAUCUGGUUGAUAGGGCGAAGGUGUAAGUGCAGCAAUGUAUUUAGCUUAUCGAUACUAAUAGGUCGAGGACUUGACCAA
This 114-nucleotide ribosomal RNA is filed under the name Clostridioides difficile. Its description in RNAcentral is "partial 23S ribosomal RNA". It matches the Rfam family "Bacterial large subunit ribosomal RNA", at positions 2808 to 2925 of the family's 2925-position model. Lineage: Bacteria; Bacillati; Bacillota; Clostridia; Peptostreptococcales; Peptostreptococcaceae. The record is from RNAcentral.